This 375-nucleotide ribosomal RNA is filed under the name uncultured bacterium. RNAcentral describes it as "bacterial SSU rRNA". It matches the Rfam family "Bacterial small subunit ribosomal RNA", at positions 790 to 1167 of the family's 1533-position model. The record is from RNAcentral.
GUAGUCCACGCUGUAAACGCUGUCGAUUUGGGGAUUGGGCUUUGAGCUUGGUGCCCGUAGCUAACGUGAUAAAUCGACAGCCUGGGGAGUACGGCCGCAAGGUUAAAACUCAAAUGAAUUGACGGGGGCCCGCACAAGCGGUGGAGCAUGUGGUUUAAUUCGAUGCAACGCGAAGAACCUUACCUACUCUUGACAUCCAUGGAAUUCUGUAGAGAUACGGGAGUGCCUUCGGGAACCAUGAGACAGGUGCUGCAUGGCUGUCGUCAGCUCGUGUUGUGAAAUGUUGGGUUAAGUCCCGCAACGAGCGCAACCCUUAUCCUUUGUUGCCAGCGAUUCGGUCGGGAACUCAAAGGAGACUGCCAGUGAUAAACUGGA